GAUGAACGCUAGCGGCAGGCCUAACACAUGCAAGUCGAGGGGCAUCAUGGCGUAGCAAUACGCUGAUGGCGACCGGCGCACGGGUGCGUAACGCGUAUGGAACCUACCCACCGCAGGGGGAUAACCCGCCGAAAGGCGGACUAAUACCCCAUGGUUCCCCGACCCUGCCUGGGGUUGGGGGUAAAGCCUACGGGCGGCGGUGGAUGGCCCUGCGUGCCAUUAGCUGGCUGGUGGGGUAACGGCCCACCAGGGCGACGAUGGCUAGGGGGUCUGAGAGGACGAUCCCCCACACUGGUACUGAGACACGGACCAGACUCCUACGGGAGGCAGCAGUGGGGAAUUUUGGACAAUGGGCGAAAGCCUGAUCCAGCCAUGCCGCGUGCGGGAAGAAGGCCUUCGGUUGUAACCGCUUAGUCCGGAAAAGGGGUGCGAGGAUAAUACCCUCGUGCUUUGAUGGUACUGGAAGAAUAAGCACCGGCUAACUACGUG
RNAcentral lists this ribosomal RNA (489 nucleotides) under uncultured bacterium. Its description in RNAcentral is "bacterial SSU rRNA". It matches the Rfam family "Bacterial small subunit ribosomal RNA", at positions 28 to 507 of the family's 1533-position model. The record is from RNAcentral.